This 1396-nucleotide ribosomal RNA is filed under the name Lactiplantibacillus plantarum. Its description in RNAcentral is "bacterial SSU rRNA". It matches the Rfam family "Bacterial small subunit ribosomal RNA", at positions 66 to 1432 of the family's 1533-position model. The record is from RNAcentral. Lineage: Bacteria; Bacillati; Bacillota; Bacilli; Lactobacillales; Lactobacillaceae.
ACUCUGGUAUUGAUUGGUGCUUGCAUCAUGAUUUACAUUUGAGUGAGUGGCGAACUGGUGAGUAACACGUGGGAAACCUGCCCAGAAGCGGGGGAUAACACCUGGAAACAGAUGCUAAUACCGCAUAACAACUUGGACCGCAUGGUCCGAGUUUGAAAGAUGGCUUCGGCUAUCACUUUUGGAUGGUCCCGCGGCGUAUUAGCUAGAUGGUGGGGUAACGGCUCACCAUGGCAAUGAUACGUAGCCGACCUGAGAGGGUAAUCGGCCACAUUGGGACUGAGACACGGCCCAAACUCCUACGGGAGGCAGCAGUAGGGAAUCUUCCACAAUGGACGAAAGUCUGAUGGAGCAACGCCGCGUGAGUGAAGAAGGGUUUCGGCUCGUAAAACUCUGUUGUUAAAGAAGAACAUAUCUGAGAGUAACUGUUCAGGUAUUGACGGUAUUUAACCAGAAAGCCACGGCUAACUACGUGCCAGCAGCCGCGGUAAUACGUAGGUGGCAAGCGUUGUCCGGAUUUAUUGGGCGUAAAGCGAGCGCAGGCGGUUUUUUAAGUCUGAUGUGAAAGCCUUCGGCUCAACCGAAGAAGUGCAUCGGAAACUGGGAAACUUGAGUGCAGAAGAGGACAGUGGAACUCCAUGUGUAGCGGUGAAAUGCGUAGAUAUAUGGAAGAACACCAGUGGCGAAGGCGGCUGUCUGGUCUGUAACUGACGCUGAGGCUCGAAAGUAUGGGUAGCAAACAGGAUUAGAUACCCUGGUAGUCCAUACCGUAAACGAUGAAUGCUAAGUGUUGGAGGGUUUCCGCCCUUCAGUGCUGCAGCUAACGCAUUAAGCAUUCCGCCUGGGGAGUACGGCCGCAAGGCUGAAACUCAAAGGAAUUGACGGGGGCCCGCACAAGCGGUGGAGCAUGUGGUUUAAUUCGAAGCUACGCGAAGAACCUUACCAGGUCUUGACAUACUAUGCAAAUCUAAGAGAUUAGACGUUCCCUUCGGGGACAUGGAUACAGGUGGUGCAUGGUUGUCGUCAGCUCGUGUCGUGAGAUGUUGGGUUAAGUCCCGCAACGAGCGCAACCCUUAUUAUCAGUUGCCAGCAUUAAGUUGGGCACUCUGGUGAGACUGCCGGUGACAAACCGGAGGAAGGUGGGGAUGACGUCAAAUCAUCAUGCCCCUUAUGACCUGGGCUACACACGUGCUACAAUGGAUGGUACAACGAGUUGCGAACUCGCGAGAGUAAGCUAAUCUCUUAAAGCCAUUCUCAGUUCGGAUUGUAGGCUGCAACUCGCCUACAUGAAGUCGGAAUCGCUAGUAAUCGCGGAUCAGCAUGCCGCGGUGAAUACGUUCCCGGGCCUUGUACACACCGCCCGUCACACCAUGAGAGUUUGUAACACCCAAAGUCGGUG